GGAAGCGGGACGCAGGGCCGGGUGCCAAGAGAAGGGGAAAGGAAAGCGAAAGGCCGCCCGGAGGGGUAUAUAGGGGGCUGCUGCAGGGCGAGGGGCAGGCUGCCGCGUUCAACGCUGCCUUCGCAGGGACUCCGACGCCAGACCUCCUCCCGAGCAGGAUGAAUCCCCGCGCUCUGCUUGCGAUCUGCGCGCUGGCUGCUGUCCUGCAGUUCUGUCAGGCUCAAGGAGACGGACACUUGGACUGCUGUCCGGCUGGCCGGCUGCAGCCGUUCCCUCGCUGGAUGCUGCUGCGGGUGAAGUCCUUCCGCGUGAUGCUGGCCACAGACCCAAGAUGCUCCAAGGCCAUUGUGGUGACCGUGCGCAGCGGAAAGGAAAUCUGCUUCAGUUUUGAAGAGAAGCUGAUCCCGAUGCUGAAUUCAAGGAAACCCCGGAAGGAGCAGCAGCCCCAGGGCGCCUAGGAGGUCAGCAAGGUGCCUUUGAGGAUGGCCCCACCUGGACUUGGCCAGACUCCUUCCACAAGGAAUGUGAAUCCAGACUCCGGUUUUUCUACUUUUCUCUUUCCCUAUAAUUGUAGAGUCCAGGGCAUCCUUUUCUGUCACUGCCGAAAUGCAGCUCCAGGUCAUGGUGGGGAGUGAAUGCGGUGAGGUGGAGCUACUUGGCUUUGGAGCAUUGCAGAAGUAAACCCCAUUUGUUGACAUCAAAGUCUCGGUUGCAUUGCUGCUUUCUUCCCCUUUUACUCCUGUAUUCCUAGAUAGAAAUCUCUCUGUCUCGGUUGCUAACUUUUGCUAACUUCCGUGAGACCAUAAGACUGCAAGAGGAGCCCUGCUGGAUCAGGCCACAACCCCUCCAGUCCAACACCCUGUCUUAAACAGUGGCCCAUCAGCUGUGUC
RNAcentral lists this long non-coding RNA (890 nucleotides) under Salvator merianae (Argentine black and white tegu). Its description in RNAcentral is "lncRNA (ENSSMRG00000020159.1)". The record is from RNAcentral. Lineage: Eukaryota; Metazoa; Chordata; Lepidosauria; Squamata; Teiidae.